CGCGUAGGCGGUGCGGUAAGUCACCUGUGAAAUCUCCUGGCUCAACCGGGAGCUUGCAGGCGAAACUGCCGUGCUGGAGUAUGGGAGAGGUGCGUGGAAUUCCUGGUGUAGCGGUGAAAUGCGUAGAUAUCAGGAGGAACACCUGUGGCGAAAGCGGCGCACUGGACCAUAACUGACGCUGAGGCGCGAAAGCUAGGGAGCAAACA
This 206-nucleotide ribosomal RNA is filed under the name uncultured bacterium. RNAcentral's name for it is "partial 16S ribosomal RNA". It matches the Rfam family "Bacterial small subunit ribosomal RNA", at positions 568 to 774 of the family's 1533-position model. The record is from RNAcentral.